This 551-nucleotide ribosomal RNA is filed under the name uncultured Glomus. RNAcentral's name for it is "SSU rRNA". It matches the Rfam family "Eukaryotic small subunit ribosomal RNA", at positions 548 to 1103 of the family's 1831-position model. Lineage: Eukaryota; Fungi; Glomeromycota; Glomeromycetes; Glomerales; Glomeraceae. The record is from RNAcentral.
UUGGAGGGCAAGUCUGGUGCCAGCAGCCGCGGUAAUUCCAGCUCCAAUAGCGUAUAUUAAAGUUGUUGCAGUUAAAAAGCUCGUAGUUGAAUUUCGGGACCAAUAUGUCGGUCGUGCUUCGGUACGUACUUGCAUUAUUGGUUUCCCCCUUCUGAAGAACCAUGAUGUCAUUAAUUUGGUGUCUUGGGGAAUCAGGACUGUUACUUUGAAAAAAUUAGAGUGUUUAAAGCAGGCUCACGCUUGAAUACAUUAGCAUGGAAUAAUGAAAUAGGACGUUUGAUUCUAUUUUGUUGGUUUCUAGGAUCGACGUAAUGAUUAAUAGGGAUAGUUGGGGGCAUUAGUAUUCAAUUGUCAGAGGUGAAAUUCUUGGAUUUAUUGAAGACUAACUACUGCGAAAGCAUUUGCCAAGGAUGUUUUCAUUAAUCAAGAACGAAAGUUAGGGGAUCGAAGACGAUCAGAUACCGUCGUAGUCUUAACCAUAAACUAUGCCGACUAGGGAUCGGAUGAUGUUAUUUUUGAUGACUCAUUCGGCGCCUUACGGGAAACCAAAG